This 749-nucleotide ribosomal RNA is filed under the name Microbacterium sp. Its description in RNAcentral is "bacterial SSU rRNA". It matches the Rfam family "Bacterial small subunit ribosomal RNA", at positions 70 to 832 of the family's 1533-position model. Lineage: Bacteria; Bacillati; Actinomycetota; Actinomycetes; Micrococcales; Microbacteriaceae. The record is from RNAcentral.
UGAAGCCAAGCUUGCUUGGUGGAUCAGUGGCGAACGGGUGAGUAACACGUGAGCAACCUGCCCCGGACUCUGGGAUAAGCGCUGGAAACGGCGUCUAAUACCGGAUAUGAACCACAGCCGCAUGGUUGGUGGUUGGAAAGAUUUUUGGUUCGGGAUGGGCUCGCGGCCUAUCAGCUUGUUGGUGAGGUAAUGGCUCACCAAGGCGUCGACGGGUAGCCGGCCUGAGAGGGUGACCGGCCACACUGGGACUGAGACACGGCCCAGACUCCUACGGGAGGCAGCAGUGGGGAAUAUUGCACAAUGGGCGGAAGCCUGAUGCAGCAACGCCGCGUGAGGGAUGACGGCCUUCGGGUUGUAAACCUCUUUUAGCAAGGAAGAAGCGAAAGUGACGGUACUUGCAGAAAAAGCGCCGGCUAACUACGUGCCAGCAGCCGCGGUAAUACGUAGGGCGCAAGCGUUAUCCGGAAUUAUUGGGCGUAAAGAGCUCGUAGGCGGUUUGUCGCGUCUGCUGUGAAAACUGGAGGCUCAACCUCCAGCCUGCAGUGGGUACGGGCAGACUAGAGUGCGGUAGGGGAGAUUGGAAUUCCUGGUGUAGCGGUGGAAUGCGCAGAUAUCAGGAGGAACACCGAUGGCGAAGGCAGAUCUCUGGGCCGUAACUGACGCUGAGGAGCGAAAGGGUGGGGAGCAAACAGGCUUAGAUACCCUGGUAGUCCACCCCGUAAACGUUGGGAACUAGUUGUGGGGGCCAU